This is an RNA transcript of Hyla sarda, 2409 nucleotides long. It is a transcript of the gene named putative ferric-chelate reductase 1, with no coding region annotated. The transcript is spliced from 20 exons. NCBI's taxonomy places the organism in Eukaryota, Metazoa, Chordata, Amphibia, Anura, Hylidae. The record is from RefSeq and is a predicted model, not a curated record.
CGGCCGCAGGUGCCAGUGUAGUGAAGAAUUUUGUGUCCUGAAGCGUUUUCAUACUGCCGCUCAGCCUAUCGCUGGCUGAGUCUGACUUCGCUGCGGCUGGUGAUUGGCUGAUUCGUCCGACCACCGGUAACCAGGAAGUGGAUUGUGGCAGAGAGCCGGUUACCGGAGGCCCCGGGGGAGCGGAGGAAGGUAGAAAAUGUUGCAUUUUCUAACGCUUCUCAUCUGCCUUGCUGGAGGCUUGGAUACAGUAUUUGGAUACUCAAAUGGACAGAUAAGCGUUGCCUGUGACAGCAUGCUUCCAAGCCACAGUAAUGGUGUCCCCCAGUCAUCUGUGUCCCCGUAUAACAUCACGGUGUCCAAUAAAACGUUUUCUCCUGGGGACGUUAUUACAGUGACCAUACAGUCCGUGUCUGGUGCAGCCUUCAAAGGAUUCCUCCUUCAAGCCCAGUCAGUGGGAGGAAACUGGAUUACUGGAACGUUUUCCACCACGGAUUCUAACACUCAGUUAUUAACAUGCACACAACCAAAUUCAGCUGUCAGUCAUACAAGUAACAGCCAGAAAACCAAAAUCACAGCCUCCUGGACAGCUCCACAGGGGGCCGGACCUGUCGUCUUCAUAGCAACAGUUGUACAGAGUUUCAGCGUCUUCUGGACUGGAGUGCAGAGCGACGUCGUACAAGCAUUACAGAUUUCGGACACCACAUGUGGGUCUCAGAAGUUUUGCCUCACCGAUCCGACAAACUGUAGUCCUACUGACAGCACGUGUAACUUCAUGUCCUCCGCUCCCACCAGCAAUGGAUUCGUGUUUGAGAUGAGCGGCCCCACUGUUGGAUACGUGGCCAUUGGGUUCUCUGAUGAUGCUAAAAUGGGGAACGAUGACGUUUUUAUUUGCACCAAGAACUCUUCAGGUUACAUUUUGGUACAAAGAGGAUACAACACCGGAACGGUAGCUCCAACAAUCAGAAGCAAUAACACAGCCGGAUCAAUAGUAUCAUCCUAUAAAAAUGGCGUCCUACAAUGUUCCUUUAUCUCUCAAACCGUCAUCUCCACACAACAACGAUCAAGUGGUAAUACCAACUUCUUUGUCUUCCUGGUCAAUGGCCCUUCGGGUGCAGAUGGAACAAUCAAUCAGCAUACCAAGACAACGAUAUCAAACGGUCAAGUGGACAUCUCAAGUUAUGUGAAAUCUGGUGCACAGAGCGGACUAGAUCCGGUGGUUCGCGCACAUGGUUCCCUCAUGCUGAUCGCCUGGAUGACAACUGGGAGUAUCGGGAUGAUUAUGGCGCGAUAUAUGAAGAGUGCGGCUGGAAAACCGUUCCUCGGGAAGGCUAUAUGGUUCCAGGGUCACUUCUUUCUCAUGAUAUUGACAGUGGUCCUGACCAUAAUAGCGUUCAUCAUGGUGUUUGUGUAUGCUGGUGACUGGAGUGGAGGAGCCCAUCCAGUCCUUGGGGUCAUAGUUAUGAUACUGUCAUUCUUCCAACCCAUCUUUGCUUUUUUCCGCCCAGAUCCUAAGAGCGAAAGACGUUUCAUCUUCAACUGGGGACAUAGUAUAAAUGCACUAGUGAUAAAAAUCCUUGCAGUGGCGGCCAUCUUUCUCGGCCUAGAGUUGGUGGAUAGAUCAUCAAACCUAUGGAUGCCCAAGGUGAUGGGAGGAUUUUUCGCGUGGGAAGUCCUCUUUUAUAUUAUCCUGGAAGCCAACAUGCGCCUGGGAAUGAGAGCAAAUCAAGAACAUAAGGCGCCUGUCGAGAAAGUAGCACUAAACAUCUUCAUAUGUGGUAAUCUGGCCUUUCUGAUCGCCCUGUUGGUCGGAAUCGGACAAUCUUAACCAGGGCUCAAGUCCUGCAGGAGAUUGUGGGAACUGAGUUCCUUCACUUUUUCCACAGCAGGAACACCAUUCCCAUUAGCAGGAGUCCUGCAGGACCAGCCCUUAAGUGGCAAAUCUUGGGUCCCUAUUGAUCUCCAAGCAAAUUAUGGCUAAAGCCUCCCAGCCAACAAAGCCUCCCAUGACGUUCACCAUCCAUCCAAGUUUAUGAUCUAGGAACUGUAAUCCCAGGAUAAGAUUUGCCACUCCACUUUGAGAUAUCGAGCCAAAAUCAUCCCUAAACUUCCUGUGGUCAUCCAAGCAAUAAGCAUGAGGGCCCCUGCAGAUGUGAGAAGAUAGAACGUCACAUACACAGGCGUCCAGUGGGCGGAGUUACUUAAUGAGUGCCAUUGUCUCCUGUAUGACUGUGUAUAUAGAGGACCACCCACUGGACUCCUAAGUCCAGAAAGAGCGGUGAUUUAAAUGAGCCGGUCAUCUGAAAAGCCAAUAGAGACAUAACCGGCUGAAGGACCGCUGAUCUCGUAAUGAUAGGUCCCGUCAUCGGUCUUGGCGGAGGACAUGAAGACGCAGCUACUACUUGAGGAAGG